CAGAAUAUGGACCCGGGUUCGUGCGUGUUGGUGGGUUUGUACUGUGGAGAUGGUGGUGAUAAGAACUCAGGUAUUUUGUUUUUCAUGGUAACUUUUAUGCUGAUGGGGCUGAAGCAUACCAAAUGGAAUUUUGGAUCAGACAUAUUG
Molecule: long non-coding RNA, 147 nt
Organism: Helianthus annuus (common sunflower)
Lineage: Eukaryota; Viridiplantae; Streptophyta; Magnoliopsida; Asterales; Asteraceae
Exons: 3
Source: RefSeq, a predicted model, not a curated record